GGCUCCAUAGCUCAGUGGUAGAGUGCCUGUCUCAUGAGCAGGAGGUCCCGGGUUCAACCCCCGGUGGAGCCA
Molecule: transfer RNA, 72 nt
Filed under: Candidatus Pacearchaeota archaeon
Lineage: Archaea; Nanobdellati
Description: tRNA-Met
Rfam family: tRNA
About the family: Transfer RNA (tRNA) molecules are approximately 80 nucleotides in length.
Source: RNAcentral